CAGUCGCCGCGGUAAUACGAAGGGGGCUAGCGUUGUUCGGAUUAACUGGGCGUAAAGGGCGCGUAGGCGGGUUUUUAAGUCAGAGGUGAAAUCCCAAGGCUCAACCUUGGAACUGCCUUUGAUACUGGAAGUCUUGAGUCCGGGAGAGGUGAGUGGAACUGCGAGUGUAGAGGUGAAAUUCGUAGAUAUUCGCAAGAACACCAGUGGCGAAGGCGGCUCACUGGCCCGGUACUGACGCUGAGGCGCGAAAGCGUGGGGAGCAAACAGGAUUAGAUACCCCGGUAGUCCCUGUCUCUUAUAC
Molecule: ribosomal RNA, 301 nt
Filed under: uncultured bacterium
Lineage: Bacteria
Description: partial 16S ribosomal RNA
Rfam family: Bacterial small subunit ribosomal RNA
Source: RNAcentral